Molecule: ribosomal RNA, 565 nt
Filed under: soil bacterium A2
Lineage: Bacteria
Also listed under: 1 other name
Description: bacterial SSU rRNA
Rfam family: Bacterial small subunit ribosomal RNA
Source: RNAcentral
ACCGGCCACACUGGGACUGAGACACGGCCCAGACUCCUACGGGAGGCAGCAGUGGGGAAUAUUGCACAAUGGGCGGAAGCCUGAUGCAGCGACGCCGCGUGAGGGAUGACGGCCUUCGGGUUGUAAACCUCUUUCAGUAGGGAAGAAGCGAAAGUGACGGUACCUGCAGAAGAAGCGCCGGCUAACUACGUGCCAGCAGCCGCGGUAAUACGUAGGGCGCAAGCGUUAUCCGGAUUUAUUGGGCGUAAAGAGCUCGUAGGCGGUUUGUCGCGUCUGCCGUGAAAGUCCGAGGCUCAACCUCGGAUCUGCGGUGGGUACGGGCAGACUAGAGUGAUGUAGGGGAGACUGGAAUUCCUGGUGUAGCGGUGAAAUGCGCAGAUAUCAGGAGGAACACCGAUGGCGAAGGCAGGUCUCUGGGCAUUUACUGACGCUGAGGAGCGAAAGCAUGGGGAGCGAACAGGAUUAGAUACCCUGGUAGUCCAUGCCGUAAACGUUGGGCACUAGGUGUGGGGGACAUUCCACGUUUUCCGCGCCGUAGCUAACGCAUUAAGUGCCCCGCCUGGGG